This 497-nucleotide ribosomal RNA is filed under the name uncultured bacterium. Its description in RNAcentral is "partial 16S ribosomal RNA". It matches the Rfam family "Bacterial small subunit ribosomal RNA", at positions 28 to 507 of the family's 1533-position model. The record is from RNAcentral.
GAUGAACGCUGGCGGCGUGCCUAAUACAUGCAAGUCGAGCGAACGGACGAGAAGCUUGCUUCUCUGAUGUUAGCGGCGGACGGAUGAGUAACACGUGGAUAACCUACCUAUAAGACUGGGAUAACUUCGGGAAACCGGAGCUAAUACCGGAUAAUAUUUAGAACCGCAUGGUUCAAAAGUGAAAGACGGUCUUGCUGUCACUUAUAGAUGGAUCCGCGCUGCAUUAGCUAGUUGGUAAGGUAACGGCUUACCAAGGCAACGAUGCAUAGCCGACCUGAGAGGGUGAUCGGCCACACUGGAACUGAGACACGGUCCAGACUCCUACGGGAGGCAGCAGUAGGGAAUCUUCCGCAAUGGGCGAAAGCCUGACGGAGCAACGCCGCGUGAGUGAUGAAGGUCUUCGGAUCGUAAAACUCUGUUAUUAGGGAAGAACAUAUGUGUAAGUAACUGUGCACAUCUUGACGGUACCUAAUCAGAAAGCCACGGCUAACUACGUG